Molecule: long non-coding RNA, 1123 nt
Organism: Bos taurus (domestic cattle)
Lineage: Eukaryota; Metazoa; Chordata; Mammalia; Artiodactyla; Bovidae
Source: Ensembl
GGUAGGGCUACGCAGCCUGGAUUGGCCUCUUCUCUCCCGAACUGCUCUUGCCUCAGGCUUCCCAGCAAAUAUUCACUGCGGGCUGGAUGCUAAUGCAUAUAACAUCCCUGGUGGCCAACAGCUGGGGAAGAAGCUGAGGUGCUCUGCAUGCCAACAAUGUCUGUGCCCCAGAGCAGCCGCAAACUCCCACGUUCUUUCUCCCCUGGCUAUCCAAGAGUGGAUUGGCUGCAGGUACCUUAUCAGAGUGAGAAAAUGAAGAAAACAGGAAAAGAUGAUGGGUCUGAAGAGUGCUCAUCUACACUAAAGGCUUAUCAUAUGCCUACAGACUAGUCAUCAUUGGGAAACAGCUGGAAUAUCAGGCCAAGAGCACAGGAGUGGGAAACAGAGGAGCUUCCAGUCCCAGCUCUGCUCUGUCACCCCGAGAAAAUCCCUCCGCCUGUCUAAGCCACACGUUCACAUGUGUAGAUAAGGACACCAGCACUCCCCAUGGUGGUGUGAGGUCAGAUGAAAUGAUGUGCAUGAAGUUUCUGGGUACAGUAAACAACGCACUGGACAAAGGAAAGGCAUAUCUACUCUGCUUUUCUCUCUCUCCUGGGCUUCCCUGGUGGCUCAGAUGGUAACGAAUUUGCCGGCAAUGUGGGAGACCUGGGUUCGAUCCCUGGAUUGGGAAGAUCCCCUGGAGGAGGGCAUGGCAACCCACUCCAGUAUUCUUGCCUGGAGAAUCCCCAUGGACAGAGGAGCCUGGCAGGCUACAGUCCAUGGGGUCGCAAAGAGUCGGACAAGACUGAGUGACUCAGCACAACAUUCCCCUCUCUCCCACCACAGUGCACAAAGGCACAUUUUAGGAAACCUUGGAAUUGAUGAGCCAGCACCUUCCAACCAGCGGGGAUAGGCCUACGACUUCAAGGCUGUUAGCACAACAACAAAGGGAAACACAGAAAGAGGAGACUACGUCCAUGUAGUCUGGGAGAUAGACAGGAGGGCACUAAAAAAAAAGAAAAACUCAGGAUCCCAGACAGAAAACUUACCCUCAGGUCCAGGCCAUUCAGCUGCUUCUGCAAAUUCCCUGAGUCAGAAUCAAGUGUGCAGCAAGUUAGGGGAACAAGAGGCUUUAUUUAAGGAG